RNAcentral lists this long non-coding RNA (465 nucleotides) under Numida meleagris (helmeted guineafowl). Its description in RNAcentral is "lncRNA (ENSNMEG00000006784.1)". The record is from RNAcentral. Lineage: Eukaryota; Metazoa; Chordata; Aves; Galliformes; Numididae.
AUGGCUCAGCUUGGGGGAGAGCCUCCCAGACCCAUGGAGAGAACUCAACAGAAAGAUGUCUUCCGCAAAGAUGCCUGGAUUCACAUCUCAGCACAAUCCCAGCAGUCCCAACCAUACUCAGACUUCCAGCACCAAACUUGGUUUCCAGACACUGGGCUUUACCUGCAUCCCAGCAGACUUCAUCCCAGCAACUUUUAUUUUUCUGGAAUAUCCCAACAUGGGCUUCAUGCCAAGCACGCUGGUGUUGGAGAGGAGAAGCUGUACUGCAGCUGUUCUCACCACCCAGAGAAGCAGGUAAGAGGCUUUCAGAAAUGCCAUCAUGCAGUGGUAUGAGCAGUGGCUGGUAGCAGCAGGAGAGGGAAGAAUAUAAAAGAGGGUAAGCAUGUAGGAUGGUAAAAUGUACAAAUAUUGAUGGAUUCUUUGAGCAAGAAGUUUGUAUAUUUUUGUAAUAUUCCCCAGUGGACU